CAUUUCCCAUUUUUCGAUAAUGAUCCUUCCGUAGGUGAACCUGCGGAAGGAUCAUUAUCGAAAAAUGGGAAAUGGGAAAGAGAGAGAGAAAUCAGGAGGGGCAUAGAGACAACCACCUUUCUACUAGAUUCGCUCGAAACCAAACGGUGGCCAUCUCUUCCCCCUUCCUUUUCUUUCUUUCUACCUUUCUAAACUCACACCUUGUGCACCUUUGUAGAUCCCCCCGCUCUCUUUCGAGGUGGUGGUAUCUAUGCUUUCAUCACAUCACACACUUUGUAUGGCCAGAACGUAUUGCGAUCACAAUUUACAACUUUCAGCAACGGAUCUCUUGGCUCUCGCAUCGAUGAAGAACGCAGCGAAUCGCGAUAAGUAAUGUGAAUUGCAGAUUUUCAGUGAAUCAUCGAAUCUUUGAACGCACAUUGCGCUCCUCGGUAUUCCGAAGAGCAUGCCUGUUUGAGUGUCAUAAAAUCAUCAACCAUUCCUUCGGGGUAUGGAUUGGACUUGGGGGUUGCUGGCGGUCGUCUUCAGCUCUCCUUAAAAGCAUUAGCGAUCGACUUGGCUAGUCUUUUGGCAUGUACGGCCUUGGACGUGAUAAAGAUCGUCCUGGCUGGAGCGUGUGACUCCCUGAGACUAUUCCAAGAAGAUUGCUUCUAAUAAAAACAAAUCGAACGGAGAAAGGGUCCAUAAAGCUUAGCUACUAGUCAGUCGAUGCUGGCGAACGCAAGCGAUGUGGUCUUGUUCUUUGAUAGCAAAGCAAGGAAAGACCUUGAAAGAUGGUGAAAUCUGGUGGAAGUGGGUCCAUGGGCCUUAGCUACUAGGCAGUCAUUCGCUUGACUGGCGAACACAAGCAACCUAGAUGGAUUCAUGAAGACCAGAGAGUGCUUGAUCUCUUGAUCUUCCUUGUUUGCGUUCGUUCGUUCGUUCAUUGACUUGACCUCAAAUCAGGUAGGACUACCCGCUGAACUUAAGCAUAUCAAUAAGCGGAGGAA
RNAcentral lists this ribosomal RNA (989 nucleotides) under Hourangia pumila. RNAcentral describes it as "eukaryotic LSU rRNA". The stretch from base 309 to 463 matches the Rfam family "5.8S ribosomal RNA". The record is from RNAcentral. Lineage: Eukaryota; Fungi; Basidiomycota; Agaricomycetes; Boletales; Boletaceae.